GGUUUUUGCAGUUCCUUCAUAUAAAGAUUGUAAUGAAAAAUGGGAAGAAUGCUACAUCAAAGUCAAGUACAUUUACUGUGAAGUUCUGAUAUGAUCACUUGUCCUCCUACAUAACACAGACCUCUUUUGGAUGGAACCCAUGGGAUGACAAGUCAAUCCUCCAUGACAGCAACCAAUAUUCACAUUGGAAUGGAUAUGCACUGUCUCCCAAGACCAGCACGAGCGGUGCUUGUCACUGAGUGCUCUAGCUUGAGCAAGUACUGAAGUCUUGGCACAAAAGCAAUUGGACGAAGUAAAGAGGUGUCUCACAACAUGGCCACUAAACCAUUCAUACAGCUUGCAGACCAGAAAGCUCGGAGUCAUCCUUACAUCCUUUCCAUUCCUGAUCUCACAUCGAUCCCCUCUGGCACUAGCUCCAAAACAUACUGAGUCCAAAGCUAGUUGCCUCCAUUCCUGCCCCUGUAAUACCAACCAAAAUCAGAAUUCUCUCUGAAAUCGAUCUACAUAUUUUAUUUAUUUUAUUUUUAUUUGAGAGAGAGGGGGAGCGAGGGAAAGGGAGAGAGAGAAAAAGGGACCUUCCAUCCACUGGUUCUUUGUCAAAUGCUGAGACUGCCCCAGGCAGAAGUCAGGAGACCAGAACUCAAUCUCCAACUCCAACAAGAGGAGCAAGAGUCCAAGUACUUGAGUUAUCAACUGCUGCCUCCCAAUGUGUG
Molecule: long non-coding RNA, 713 nt
Organism: Ochotona princeps (American pika)
Lineage: Eukaryota; Metazoa; Chordata; Mammalia; Lagomorpha; Ochotonidae
Exons: 3
Source: RefSeq, a predicted model, not a curated record